AUGCACACAAAAUAUGCACACUCUGACACAUGGCAGAGCAAAGAGAAAGGGAAAAGAAGUCUAAAAGAAGAAGCCAGCAACCAAAGGUCAGCUCGGGCGGCUCAGCCACGUGCAGUCCACCCACAACCCUGGUCAGGUCAUGUGAGACGAAGACCAAAGCCUCAUCAACACUCCAUUGUCUUCCAGAGCCCUGCCUGUGCUGUACCCUCCAGCCCAGGACUGCUUUGCUCACCCGUCCCCGAGGGGAUGCUCCAGGGCUCUUUCAGUCCUCACCUGCAGAAAGAACUGAGUGAUGCUCAGGCCCAAGAUCUUCACUUGCAACUCUGACGUUCAGUUUUUCCCAUCUCACCCAUCCUGUCAGCCUCA
RNAcentral lists this long non-coding RNA (366 nucleotides) under Chinchilla lanigera (long-tailed chinchilla). RNAcentral's name for it is "lncRNA (ENSCLAG00000026748.1)". The record is from RNAcentral. Lineage: Eukaryota; Metazoa; Chordata; Mammalia; Rodentia; Chinchillidae.